RNAcentral lists this transfer-messenger RNA (347 nucleotides) under Mycobacteroides abscessus subsp. abscessus. Its description in RNAcentral is "transfer-messenger RNA, SsrA". It matches the Rfam family "transfer-messenger RNA". Rfam says of the family: Bacterial tmRNA, also known as 10Sa RNA or SsrA, is named for its dual tRNA and mRNA-like properties. Lineage: Bacteria; Bacillati; Actinomycetota; Actinomycetes; Mycobacteriales; Mycobacteriaceae. The record is from RNAcentral.
GGGGCUGACAGGCAUUCGAUUGCGUGUCAACUUACUGAGAAGCGUGCCGGGAAGCAACGCCCGCAACAGUGCAACCUUGAUAAGCGCAAACGCUCAUCAGUCCGACUACGUCCUAGCGGCGUAGUCCGUUGGGGUACAACGGUUCACCCGUUCCUUGUACCAAUCCACCGUCGCCAAUACGGGGAACCCUCUGGCUCACGCCGUCGCACAGAGGCUAAACGUGCUGCGGCAGAACCCUCGUAUCAGGCUGCCCAGCCAAACCGGAGGUAAACGGUAUAACAGGGAUACGCACGUAGAAGGCAGUGAAGAGAAGCGCAAGACUGCGGUUCAAUUCCGCACAGCUCCAC